RNAcentral lists this ribosomal RNA (617 nucleotides) under Leuconostoc pseudomesenteroides. RNAcentral describes it as "bacterial SSU rRNA". It matches the Rfam family "Bacterial small subunit ribosomal RNA", at positions 117 to 722 of the family's 1533-position model. Lineage: Bacteria; Bacillati; Bacillota; Bacilli; Lactobacillales; Lactobacillaceae. The record is from RNAcentral.
GUGGACAACCUGCCUCAAGGCUGGGGAUAACAUUUGGAAACAGAUGCUAAUACCGAAUGAAACUUAGUGUCGCAUGAUACGAAGUUAAAAGGCGCUUUGGCGUCACCUAGAGAUGGAUCCGCGGUGCAUUAGUUAGUUGGUGGGGUAAAGGCCUACCAAGACAAUGAUGCAUAGCCGAGUUGAGAGACUGAUCGGCCACAUUGGGACUGAGACACGGCCCAAACUCCUACGGGAGGCUGCAGUAGGGAAUCUUCCACAAUGGGCGAAAGCCUGAUGGAGCAACGCCGCGUGUGUGAUGAAGGCUUUCGGGUCGUAAAGCACUGUUGUAUGGGAAGAACAGCUAGAAUAGGGAAUGAUUUUAGUUUGACGGUACCAUACCAGAAAGGGACGGCUAAAUACGUGCCAGCAGCCGCGGUAAUACGUAUGUCCCGAGCGUUAUCCGGAUUUAUUGGGCGUAAAGCGAGCGCAGACGGUUGAUUAAGUCUGAUGUGAAAGCCCGGAGCUCAACUCCGGAAUGGCAUUGGAAACUGGUUAACUUGAGUGCAGUAGAGGUAAGUGGAACUCCAUGUGUAGCGGUGGAAUGCGUAGAUAUAUGGAAGAACACCAGUGGCGAAGGC